GACGAACGCUGGCGGCGUGCUUAACACAUGCAAGUCGAACGGGCCUGUCUUCUUUUUUGGGGGGUGGGUUGAGUGGCGAACGGGUGAGUAUCACGUGAGUAACCUGCCCUUCGGUCCUGGAUAACCGCUUGAAAGGGCGGCUAAUACGGGGUGGUCCGGUUGGUCCGCAUGGGCUGGUCGGGAUAGAUUCACUGUUUUUGGUGUUUCGGCGGGGGAUGGGCUCGCGGCCUAUCAGCUUGUUGGUGGGGUGAUGGCCUACCAAGGCGGUGACGGGUAGCCGGCCUGAGAGGGUGGGCGGCCACCCUGGGACUGAGAUACGGCCCAGACUCCUGCGGGAGGCAGCAGUGGGGGGUAUUGCACAAUGGGCGGAAGCCUGAUGCAGCGACGUCGCGUGAGGGAUGGAGGCCUUCGGGUUGUGAACCUCUGUUUCCGGUGGUGAAGGCCCUGUCCGUGUGGUGGGGUUGACGGUAGCCGGGGAUGAAGCGCCGGCUAACUACGUGC
RNAcentral lists this ribosomal RNA (501 nucleotides) under uncultured bacterium. Its description in RNAcentral is "partial 16S ribosomal RNA". It matches the Rfam family "Bacterial small subunit ribosomal RNA", at positions 28 to 508 of the family's 1533-position model. The record is from RNAcentral.